This 422-nucleotide ribosomal RNA is filed under the name uncultured bacterium. RNAcentral's name for it is "partial 16S ribosomal RNA". It matches the Rfam family "Bacterial small subunit ribosomal RNA", at positions 360 to 774 of the family's 1533-position model. The record is from RNAcentral.
AAUAUUGGACAAUGGGCGAAAGCCUGAUCCAGCCAUGCCGCGUGUGUGAAGAAGGUCUUCGGAUUGUAAAGCACUCUAAGUUGGGAGGAAGGGCAGUAAGUUAAUACCUUGCUGUUUUGACGUUACCGACAGAAUAAGCACCGGCUAACUUCGUGCCAGCAGCCGCGGUAAUACGAAGGGUGCAAGCGUUAAUCGGAAUUACUGGGCGUAAAGCGGGCGUAAGGGUUUUGUUAAAUUGGAAGGUGAAAGCCCGGGCUCAACCUGGGGAAUGGUUUAAAAACGUGCAAACUUAGAUAAGGGAAGGGGUUGUGGGAUUUCCUGGGGUAGCGUGGAAAGGCGAAGUUAAGGAAAGGACCCCAAGGGCGAAAGGCGACACCUGGGCUAAUAAUUGACGCUGAGUGCCAAAGCGUGGGGGACAAACA